Molecule: ribosomal RNA, 278 nt
Filed under: uncultured bacterium
Lineage: Bacteria
Description: partial 16S ribosomal RNA
Rfam family: Bacterial small subunit ribosomal RNA
Source: RNAcentral
UGCCAGCAGCCGCGGUAAUACGUAGGGUGCGAGCGUUAAUCGGAAUUACUGGGCGUAAAGCGGGCGCAGACGGUUAUUUAAGCAGGAUGUGAAAUCCCCGGGCUCAACCUGGGAACUGCGUUCUGAACUGGAUAGCUAGAGUGUGUCAGGGGGGGUAGAAUUCCACGUGUAGCAGUGAAAUGCGUAGAGAUGUGGAGGAAUACCGAUGGCGAAGGCAGCCCCCUGGGAUAACACUGACGUUCAUGCCCGAAAGCGUGGGUAGCAAACAGGAUUAGAUA